AAUUAACUUAAACCUAGGAUUGUGAUUAAUUAAGCCUAAGUUUGGGAUUAAUGAAACCUAGUAUAAAUACCUAAUGAGUACGGCUCCCUUUCAUUUCUCACGACCCCGACUCCUCUUCUUGUGAUUCUUCGUCGUCGCCCCUCCUUUUCGCCCUUCCAUGCCGGUGCCACCUUGUUGGGUCGAGGGUGCUACUGGUGGCACAAUCACUUGCGGAUUAGGGCUUUUGAUGAGGGUUGUUGGGUUGAAGGUUCGAAUCAUACCGAAGCCGAGAUUUAUCCUUCAAAUUGCAAGGAAGGCAAAUAUUUUCUUCCCUUAUAGGGUAUGGGAUUAGGGUUUCUUUGGUUUUGCACUGUCCUUCAAGAGGAUUCUUCGGAUGUGAUUGGUGGCUCAUAAUGUAAAUGAUACAGAUGUAGGAGAUGACACCAAGGAGGUGAUAGAGGACGUGGAGAUGGAGUAACUGAGGAGAUGAGAUAAAAUGCAUAGGUCACUCUCUAGGGGGAUUAAGAGCAUGUUAAUAAAUGUAGUCUUUUGAUUGUUAUGUGGAUAUAAGUUAGAGACUAUUCAUUUUAUGUUUUCAUGUUUUGUUAUUGGAAGCUUAAGAAAUGUUCAUUCGAAAGAUAUAUGUUGAGAAUUGAAGUUUACAUGUGAUGAAAUUUUCUUUGGGUUUAAAGUAAAUGUGGUAUGCUA
Molecule: long non-coding RNA, 687 nt
Organism: Zingiber officinale
Lineage: Eukaryota; Viridiplantae; Streptophyta; Magnoliopsida; Zingiberales; Zingiberaceae
Exons: 2
Source: RefSeq, a predicted model, not a curated record